AGAUGUGUUAAGGCGCUCAAAGAGAACUGGGAGGACAUCAAGGUUGUGUUAUGUGUGCGUGCUUGACAGGGUGGUGACAACGACAAUUGAAGGCCCAGGCUUGUCUACAAGUGAGAUGUGUGUGUGUGUGUGUGCAGUAGUUGGUAUGUUAUGUGUGUGCGCCUCCUCUCUGAAUCUUUUACCACUGAAUUUUGUCUGCAUCUUGUAUAUUGCAGGGUAUCAAGUAGAGAUAAACUGCACAUGUCGUCAAUCGGAUGCACAUGUGACAUUCUACCAAGAUCUAAUUCAGUUAGUUCUCUACCAAAUCCAAUCCCGUUUAGAUUUUUCCAAAAGUUUGGUUCAUCUUUGUUCUCUAAAUCAACAUAAUCAAGUGUAAAAUAUCAUUUAGUUUAUUUUCUACCAAUAUAUAAUUCGGUAGGAAUAAAUGUAACCAAGUGUGAUGAAUAAUUUCAUCAAAUAGGUUUUGCAGAUAUGAUUUCUGUGAAUGUACUAACAUGGCGAGAUGUGCUAUUUGUUGUUUUGUCCCAGGCAUUUCUUUUUAGUCCCUGUCUCCUACAACUCAACAAAUAUAUAUAAACGAAUUAUUUUAAUCUAAAUCUAUGAAUAAAGUUACAUUAUCU
Molecule: long non-coding RNA, 620 nt
Filed under: Hordeum vulgare
Lineage: Eukaryota; Viridiplantae; Streptophyta; Magnoliopsida; Poales; Poaceae
Description: long non-coding RNA (HVUL_LNC008181)
Source: RNAcentral